Molecule: non-coding RNA, 71 nt
Organism: Danio rerio (zebrafish)
Lineage: Eukaryota; Metazoa; Chordata; Actinopteri; Cypriniformes; Danionidae
Source: Rfam
GCAUUGGUGGUUCAGUGGUAGAAUUCUCGCCUGCCACGCGGGAGACCCGGGUCCGAUUCCCGGCCAAUGCG